CCUACGGGAGGCAGCAGUGGGGAAUUUUCCGCAAUGGGCGAAAGCCUGACGGAGCAACGCCGCGUGAGGGAUGAAGGCCUCUGGGCUGUAAACCUCUUUUAUCAAGGAAGAAGAUCUGACGGUACUUGAUGAAUAAGCCACGGCUAAUUCCGUGCCAGCAGCCGCGGUAAUACGGGAGUGGCAAGCGUUAUCCGGAAUUAUUGGGCGUAAAGCGUCCGCAGGCGGUCUUGUAAGUCUGUCGUUAAAGCGUGGAGCUCAACUCCAUUUCGGCGGUGGAAACUACAAGACUAGAGUGUGGUAGGGGCAGAGGGAAUUCCCGGUGUAGCGGUGAAAUGCGUAGAUAUCGGGAAGAACACCAGUGGCGAAGGCGCUCUGCUGGGCCAUAACUGACGCUCAUGGACGAAAGCUAGGGGAGCGAAAGGGAUUAGAUACCCCUGUAGUCCUAGCCGUAAACGAUGAACACUAGGUGUCGGGGGAAUCGACCCCCUCGGUGUCGUAGCUAACGCGUUAAGUGUUCCGCCUGGGGAGUACGCACGCAAGUGUGAAACUUAAAGGAAUUGACGGCUGAAGAGUGCGAGAGACGACGAGGAGAGG
RNAcentral lists this ribosomal RNA (594 nucleotides) under uncultured bacterium. RNAcentral describes it as "bacterial SSU rRNA". It matches the Rfam family "Bacterial small subunit ribosomal RNA", at positions 338 to 945 of the family's 1533-position model. The record is from RNAcentral.